UACGUAGGGGGCAAGCGUUGUCCGGAUUUACUGGGCGUAAAGAGCGUGUAGGCGGCCACGCAGGUCCGUUGUGAAAACUGGAGGCUCAACCUCCAGCUGUCGACGGAAACCGUAUGGCUAGAGUCCGGAAGAGGAGAGUGGAAUUCCUGGUGUAGCGGUGAAAUGCGCAGAUAUCAGGAAGAACACCAGUGGCGAAGGCAGCUCUCUGGGACGGUACUGACGCUGAGACGCGAAAGCGUGGGGAGCGAACAGG
RNAcentral lists this ribosomal RNA (253 nucleotides) under uncultured bacterium. RNAcentral describes it as "partial 16S ribosomal RNA". It matches the Rfam family "Bacterial small subunit ribosomal RNA", at positions 524 to 776 of the family's 1533-position model. The record is from RNAcentral.